CGGCCGGCGGAGAGGGGGAGGAUGGGCGGCGACGCGGAGGAGGCCAUGAGACUAGAAGGUGACUCUGGUUUUGACUUGGAGAGCGAGAAGGAAGCGGUUUUGGACUCGUUAAAGGAUCUAUCAUACCCACGCAUAAUGGAUUUCGAUUGGUUCGAAUCUAGAAUGCAGCAGUGUCAAUUUUGUCCAGCUCACAGUUUUUUUUUGCCUAAUCUGUUUUUCAUCUAUCGCGAGUCGAUCCCUAUUUAUUUCACAUUCAUGACUUUAUCUUCUACUCAUCUAAUAUUUUGGAGGCAGAAAUCUUGUUAUAGAGACAGAAAUCUUGUACGAGAUAGCUCAUUGAAGGGGAUCUAAAUACUAGUUUUUUU
Molecule: long non-coding RNA, 365 nt
Filed under: Phoenix dactylifera (date palm)
Lineage: Eukaryota; Viridiplantae; Streptophyta; Magnoliopsida; Arecales; Arecaceae
Description: long non-coding RNA (PDAC_LNC015054)
Source: RNAcentral